AGUUUGAUCCUGGCUCAGGAUGAACGCUAGCGGCAGGCCUAAUACAUGCAAGUCGAACGGUGAUAGUGAUAUCAUAGUGGCGCACGGGUGCGUAACACGUAUGGAACCUACCUUAUAGACGGGGAUAGCCUUUGGAAACGGAGAUUAAUACCCGAUGGUAAUAUGAGAUGGCAUCAUUUUAUAUUUAAAGAUUUAUCGCUAUAAGUUGGUCAUGCGUCCAAUUAGUUAGUUGGUGAGGUAACGGCUCACCAAGACGAUGAUUGGUAGGGGAACUGAGAGGUUAAUCCCCCACACUGGCACUGAGAUACGGGCCAGACUCCUACGGGAGGCAGCAGUAGGGAAUAUUGGGCAAUGGAGGCAACUCUGACCCAGCCAUGCCGCGUGCAGGAUGAAGGCGUUAUGCGUUGUAAACUGCUUUUAUAUAGGAAGAAAUAGACCUUGCGAGGUAAGUUGACGGUACUAUAUGAAUAAGCACCGGCUAACUCCGUGCCAGCAGCCGCGGUAAUACGGAGGGUGCAAGCGUUGUCCGGAUUUAUUGGGUUUAAAGGGUGCGUAGGCGGUUUAUUAAGUCAGUGGUGAAAGACGGUCGCUCAACGAUUGCAGUGCCAUUGAUACUGGUAGACUUGAGUGAGAUUGAGGUAGCUGGAAUGGAUAGUGUAGCGGUGAAAUGCAUAGAUAUUAUCCAGAACACCAAUUGCGUAGGCAAGUUACUAAGUCUCAACUGACGCUGAGGCACGAAAGUGUGGGUAUCAAACAGGAUUAGAUACCCUGGUAGA
This 776-nucleotide ribosomal RNA is filed under the name uncultured Flectobacillus sp. Its description in RNAcentral is "bacterial SSU rRNA". It matches the Rfam family "Bacterial small subunit ribosomal RNA", at positions 10 to 794 of the family's 1533-position model. The record is from RNAcentral. Lineage: Bacteria; Pseudomonadati; Bacteroidota; Cytophagia; Cytophagales; Flectobacillaceae.